RNAcentral lists this ribosomal RNA (372 nucleotides) under uncultured Sphingobacteriales bacterium. RNAcentral describes it as "bacterial SSU rRNA". It matches the Rfam family "Bacterial small subunit ribosomal RNA", at positions 1008 to 1382 of the family's 1533-position model. Lineage: Bacteria; Pseudomonadati; Bacteroidota; Sphingobacteriia; Sphingobacteriales. The record is from RNAcentral.
CUUACAUCUCUUCGGAGCAUUUUACGAGGUGCUGCAUGGUUGUCGUCAGCUCGUGCCGUGAGGUGUCGGGUUAAGUCCCAUAACGAGCGCAACCCCUACCUUUAGUUGCCAUCAGGUAAUGCUGGGGACCCUAAGGAACUGCCUACGCAAGUAGUGAGGAAGCGGGGAUGACGUCAAAUCAGCACGGCCCUUACGUCCAGGGCUACACACGUGCUACAAUGGCCGAUACAGAGGGGCAGCUACCUGGUGACAGGAUGCAAAUCUCCAAAGUCGGUCUCAGUUCGGAUCGGAGUCUGCAACCCGACUCCGUGAAGUUGGAUUCGCUAGUAAUCGCGCAUCAGCCAUGGCGCGGUGAAUACGUUCCCGGGCCUU